RNAcentral lists this ribosomal RNA (497 nucleotides) under uncultured bacterium. RNAcentral's name for it is "partial 16S ribosomal RNA". It matches the Rfam family "Bacterial small subunit ribosomal RNA", at positions 28 to 507 of the family's 1533-position model. The record is from RNAcentral.
GAUGAACGCUGGCGGCGUGCCUAAUACAUGCAAGUCGAGCGAACGGACGAGAAGCUUGCUUCUCUGAUGUUAGCGGCGGACGGGUGAGUAACACGUGGAUAACCUACCUAUAAGACUGGGAUAACUUCGGGAAACCGGAGCUAAUACCGGAUAAUAUUUUUAACCGCAUGGUUCAAAAGUGAAAGACGGUCUUGCUGUCACUUAUAGAUGGAUCCGCGCUGCAUUAGCUAGUUGGUAAGGUAACGGCUUACCAAGUCAACGACGCAUAGCCGACCUGAGAGGGUGAUCGGCCACACUGGAACUGAGAGACGGUCCAGACUCCUACGGGAGGCAGCAGUAGGGAAUCUUCCGCAAUGGGCGAAAGCCUGACGGAGCAACGCCGCGUGAGUGAUGAAGGUCUUCGGAUCGUAAAACUCUGUUAUUAGGGAAGAACAUAUGUGUAAGUAACUGUGCACAUCUUGACGGUACCUAAUCAGAAAGCCACGGCUAACUACGUG